GCAAACACUUUUUAGAAGAAAGUAAAAAAGACGACGAACCGUUAGGUGGUAAAAGAAAAUAGCUACAUUUUUUGCCUCUUUUCUUCCUCCUCCCGGGAGCAGCAGUGGAGCAGGCGGCCCCCGAUUGGGGCAACUGUUGGGUUUCUUUUACAAGUACCAGAGGGAAAGUUGAAAAAGACUUUGAAAAGAGAGUCAAAGACAGCUUGAAAUUGCCUGUAGGGACGCGGAUGGGGUCCCCCGACCUGCCGGGGGUGUAUUUGGUUCGGCUCCUGCAAGUGGCAUGGCUUACGGGCCCGAUGAUGGCCGACCUGUGGGUCGGCGGCGGUAGCCUCGGGCGCCUCAUGUGCCUCCAGUUGCAUUCUGGUCGAGCUCCCAACAUGCCCAUUCUCGGUGUAAGAGCUGGUCAUCUCUCCGACCCGUCUUGAAACACGGACCAAGGAGUUUAUCGUGUGCGCGAGUCAUUGGGCGUUGAAAACCCAAAGGCGCAAUGAAAGUGAAGUGCCACGCAAGUGGCUGAUGUGCGAUGUUGUGUUCCAUGGCUCACGACCGCAGCAUGGCCCCAUCCUGGCUGCUUGCAGCGGGGUGGAGGAAGAGCGUGCGCGAUGAGACCCGAAAGAUGGUGAACUAUUCCUGAGCAGGAUGAAGCCAGAGGAAACUCUGGUGGAAGUCCGAAGCGAUUCUGACGUGCAAAUCGAUCGUC
Molecule: ribosomal RNA, 700 nt
Filed under: Pratylenchus zeae
Lineage: Eukaryota; Metazoa; Nematoda; Chromadorea; Rhabditida; Pratylenchidae
Description: partial large subunit ribosomal RNA
Rfam family: Eukaryotic large subunit ribosomal RNA (bases 79-700)
Source: RNAcentral